RNAcentral lists this unclassified non-coding RNA (339 nucleotides) under soil metagenome. RNAcentral's name for it is "partial contains 5.8S ribosomal RNA, internal transcribed spacer 2, and large subunit ribosomal RNA". The stretch from base 1 to 120 matches the Rfam family "5.8S ribosomal RNA", at positions 35 to 154 of the family's 154-position model. The record is from RNAcentral.
GAUGAAGAACGCAGUGAAAUGCGAUACGUAGUGUGAAUUGCAGAAUUCAGUGAAUCAUCGAAUCUUUGAACGCACAUUGCACCUCUCGGUAUUCUGGGAGGUAUGCCUGUUCGAGCGUCAUUUGUACCCUCAAGCUCUGCUUGGUGUUGGGUGUUUGUUCCGCCUCUGUGUGUGAACUCGCCUCAAAACAAUUGGCAGCCGGCGUACUUGUUUCGGAGCGCAGCACAUUUUGCGAUCCAGAUCAACGUACAGCGGCAUCCAAGAAGCCUUAUUUAACGCUCUUGACCUCGGAUCAGGUAGGGAUACCCGCUGAACUUAAGCAUAUCAAUAAGCGGAGGA